Molecule: ribosomal RNA, 429 nt
Filed under: uncultured bacterium
Lineage: Bacteria
Description: bacterial SSU rRNA
Rfam family: Bacterial small subunit ribosomal RNA
Source: RNAcentral
UAGGGAAUCUUCCACAAUGGGCGCAAGCCUGAUGGAGCAACACCGCGUGAGUGACGAAGGGUUUCGGCUCGUAAAGCUCUUUUGUUGGAGAAGAACGUGCGUGAGAGUAACUGUUCACGUCGUUACGGUAUCCAACCAGAAAGGCACGCCUAACUCCGUCCCAGCAGCCGCGGUAAUACGUAGGUGGCAAGCGUUAUCCGGAUUUAUUGGGCGUAAAGCGAGCGCAGGCGGUUGCUUAGGUCUGAUGUGAAAGCCUUCGGCUUAACCGAAGAAGUGCAUCGGAAACCGGGCGACUUGAGUGCAGAAGAGGACAGUGGAACUCCAUGUGUAGCGGUGGAAUGCGUAGAUAUAUGGAAGAACACCAGUGGCGAAGGCGGCUGUCUGGUCUGCAACUGACGCUGAGGCUCGAAAGCAUGGGUAGCGAACAGG